Aegilops tauschii subsp. strangulata is the source of this 198-nucleotide small nuclear RNA. RefSeq annotates it as U2 spliceosomal RNA. The record is from RefSeq and is a predicted model, not a curated record. NCBI's taxonomy places the organism in Eukaryota, Viridiplantae, Streptophyta, Magnoliopsida, Poales, Poaceae.
AUAUCUUUCUCGGGCUUUUGGCUAAGAUCAAGUGUAAAAUAUGUUCUUAUCAUUUGAAUAUUUGAUAUGUGGGCCAUGUGCCCACAAUGAUGUUAAAUUUAUUUUUUAUAAGAAAGAGUUUAUCACAGUAUCUUGCUGCUGGGAUCCUUAUGUGUCGCCUAGGUGUUGCAUUGCUUGCUUGGGCCUGGCGCACCCCAA